UCCCAACCCAAUGUGAACCAUACCAAACUGUUGCCUCGGCGGGGUCACGCCCCGGGUGCGUCGCAGCCCCGGAACCAGGCGCCCGCCGGAGGGACCAACCAAACUCUUUCUGUAGUCCCCUCGCGGACGUUAUUUCUUACAGCUCUGAGCAAAAAUUCAAAAUGAAUCAAAACUUUCAACAACGGAUCUCUUGGUUCUGGCAUCGAUGAAGAACGCAGCCAA
RNAcentral lists this unclassified non-coding RNA (222 nucleotides) under Trichoderma viridescens. RNAcentral's name for it is "sequence contains ITS1". The stretch from base 171 to 222 matches the Rfam family "5.8S ribosomal RNA", at positions 1 to 52 of the family's 154-position model. Lineage: Eukaryota; Fungi; Ascomycota; Sordariomycetes; Hypocreales; Hypocreaceae. The record is from RNAcentral.